UUAAACCCAAAGAAUUUGGCGGUACUUUAUUCCAUUCAGAGGAACCUACCCCAUAAUUGAUAGUACACGAUUUACUUUACUUGAUUUAUUUGUUUGUAUAUCUCCGUUAACAGAAAAUCUUUUUAGAGUUUAAAUUUUCAUGAUUUAUAACUAUAAAGUAUUUCAGGUCAAGGUGCAGCUUAUAUUUAAGAGGAGGUGGGUUACAAUAAAUUUAAAUUUAUUACGGUUAUUUUGAUGAAAUAUUAAAAUUUAANGUGGAUUUGAUAGUAAAUUAAUUUAUUUAAUUUAAUUGAUAUUGGCUCUGAGGUGUGUACACAUC
This 319-nucleotide ribosomal RNA is filed under the name Betiscoides meridionalis. Its description in RNAcentral is "partial 12S ribosomal RNA". The record is from RNAcentral. Lineage: Eukaryota; Metazoa; Arthropoda; Insecta; Orthoptera; Lentulidae.